Mycena belliarum is the source of this 83-nucleotide non-coding RNA. The record is from the annotation of a GenBank genome assembly. Lineage: Eukaryota; Fungi; Basidiomycota; Agaricomycetes; Agaricales; Mycenaceae.
GCCUCCGUGGCCAAACGGAUAAUGUUGUUAUUUAUCUGGGACGUCUUGACCAGACGUAGCGGGUUCGAACCCCGCAGGAGGCA